UGACGAGAUUGUCUGUGCAUGUAAAACUAGCAUCACGAUACAUGUACCAGAGUGUUUUAUGUCAAUAAUGCUCUUCAGUAAGGCCUGUCGGGAAUUUAGAUCGAUUUCAUAUAUGCAAACGUUAUUACCUGAUACUUAUGUUUUAUGACGUGAGUUAUAUAACAAUGACUAGACGUUGAAAAAACACGAUCUAUACACAAACACAUGUACCUACUGUACACAACAAGGCCAUUCUCGGAAAUAUUGUUGUAUAAGGUACAUGAAGAUAUG
This 270-nucleotide long non-coding RNA is filed under the name Mytilus galloprovincialis (Mediterranean mussel). Lineage: Eukaryota; Metazoa; Mollusca; Bivalvia; Mytilida; Mytilidae. The record is from RNAcentral.